AACGAACGCUGGCGGCAUGCCUAACACAUGCAAGUCGAACGAGACCUUCGGGUCUAGUGGCGCACGGGUGCGUAACGCGUGGGAACCUGCCCUUAGGUUCGGAAUAACUCCCCGAAAGGGGUGCUAAUACCGGAUAAUGUCUUCGGACCAAAGAUUUAUCGCCUUUGGUUGGGCCCGCGUUGGAUUAGCUAGUUGGUAGGGUAAAAGCCUACCAAGGCGACGAUCCAUAGCUGGUCGGAGAGGAUGAUCAGCCACACUGGGACUGAGACCCGGCCCAGACUCCUACGGGAGGCAGCAGUUGGUAAUAUUGGACAAGGGGCGAAAGCCUGAUCCAGCAAUGCCGCGUGAGUGAUGAAGGCCUUAGGGUUGUAAAGCUCUUUUACCCGGGAUGAUAAUGACAGUACCGGGAGAAUAAGCUCCGGCUAACUCCGUG
This 433-nucleotide ribosomal RNA is filed under the name uncultured bacterium. RNAcentral's name for it is "partial 16S ribosomal RNA". It matches the Rfam family "Bacterial small subunit ribosomal RNA", at positions 29 to 507 of the family's 1533-position model. The record is from RNAcentral.